CCUACGGGUGGCAGCAGUGGGGAAUAUUGGGCAAUGGGCGCAAGCCUGACCCAGCAACGCCGCGUGAAGGAAGAAGGCUCUCGGGUUGUAAACUUCUUUUCUGAGGGACGAAGAAAGUGACGGUACCUCAGGAAUAAGCCACGGCUAACUACGUGCCAGCAGCCGCGGUAAUACGUAGGUGGCAAGCGUUAUCCGGAUUUAUUGGGUGUAAAGGGCGUGUAGGCGGGAAUGCAAGUCAGAUGUGAAAACUCAGGGCUCAACCCUGGGCCUGCAUUUGAAACUGUUGUUCUUGAGUGAUGGAGAGGCAAUCGGAAUUCCGUGUGUAGCGGUGAAAUGCGUAGAUAUACGGAGGAACACCAGUGGCGAAGGCGGAUUGCUGGACAUUAACUGACGCUGAGGCGCGAAAGCGUGGGGAGCAAACAGGAUUAGAUACCCCAGUAGUC
RNAcentral lists this ribosomal RNA (443 nucleotides) under uncultured bacterium. RNAcentral's name for it is "partial 16S ribosomal RNA". It matches the Rfam family "Bacterial small subunit ribosomal RNA", at positions 338 to 795 of the family's 1533-position model. The record is from RNAcentral.